This 971-nucleotide ribosomal RNA is filed under the name Neomazocraes dorosomatis. Its description in RNAcentral is "16S ribosomal RNA". The stretch from base 644 to 928 matches the Rfam family "Archaeal large subunit ribosomal RNA", at positions 2151 to 2715 of the family's 2987-position model. The record is from RNAcentral. Lineage: Eukaryota; Metazoa; Platyhelminthes; Monogenea; Mazocraeidea; Mazocraeidae.
UUAGAAAAGAGAGAUUUAAAAGAUUUUAGGUUUACUUGCCUUUUGCAUCAUGAUCAAUAGAUAUUUAAUUUGGUCUAAAUACUCUCGAAAAAGAUGUGAAAUUUUAUUUUUAUGUUGAGAACUUGAUUUUUAUUGAGUAAAUUUAAUUAUAAAAAAUAAAAGUUGUGAGACGCUAUUCGCACUCUUUUAUAACUAGUUAACAGAUUAUAAUUUUAAUAACAGGUAAAGCUAUGAGGUUUUUUCUGAGACUACACAAGGUUUGUUUUUAACUAUUUCUAGGAUGGAAAGUUUCCAAGAUAAAAAGUGUGUUAUAACAUAAUAAAAUUUUGUUCAUUGUUAGUUAAUAAAUUUUGUUAAAAUUUAAUUAGUUUAAUUAUUAAAAUUGUUGAAUUAGUAAUUUUUAAACACACCUUUAUUUUUUUGAUUUUAUUCGGACUGUUUAUCAAAAACAUUUUUUCUUAUUUAGCUAAGAAAUCAGACCUGCUCAAUGUGAUUUAUAAAUAGCCGCAUUAGCCUGAGUGUGCUAAGGUAGCAUAAUUACUAGCUCUUUAAUUGGGAGAUUGUUUGAACGGUUUAACCAGAAUAAAGAAAGUUUAGGAGUAAUAUUGAAUUUUAUUUGUUAGUACAGAUUCUAACAAAAAAAAUAGGGACGGGAAGACCCUAGGAGUUUUACAAUAUUUUGUUUUUUUGGGGCAAAACAGGAUUGUUCAUCUUGAUUAGGAUCCUUAAGGAAAAUGAUUAAAGUUACCCUAGGGAUAACAGGGUAAGAAGUAAAGAGAGAUCUAAUCGAUUUAUUUAAUUGCCACCUCGAUGUUGACUUAAGAAAAGUUUUUUGGCGCAGAUGCUAAAGAAACAGGUCUGUUCGACCUUUUAUUUCUUUCAUGAGUUGAGUUAAGACCGAUGUAAAUCAGGUUGGUUCCUAUCUUAUAAUUAUUUUUAAUAGUACGAAAGGAUUUUAAAAAUUUUAGUUU